GAAGUGCGAUAAGCAAUGCGAAUUGCAGAAUUCCGCGAAUCAUCAGAUCUUUGAACGCAAAUGGCGCCAGAGGGAUAUCCUUUUGGCAUGUCUGUUUCAGUGUCUGAGAGGUUUCACCACUAUCUUAAUGUGAUUGAUGGAUUUUUGAGGUAGGCUUCAAACCCCUCCUCUUAGAAAACAUCUCUCAUGAAAGAUGUUCGAGUGGAUCUUUCGGUCCAAUGAAGUGGUCACAUCACUCGCAUGUGAUUUCAUUGGGAUCACCGAAUUAUCCGCAUGCUCGAAGUACACUCUCUCUUGUGUAGUAGUAGUAGCAAUACUACUAUUACCAAGACACUCCACACCCUGCAUCUGAGACAGGCAAGAUCACCCGCUGAACUUAA
This 380-nucleotide unclassified non-coding RNA is filed under the name uncultured fungus. RNAcentral describes it as "sequence contains ITS1". The stretch from base 1 to 105 matches the Rfam family "5.8S ribosomal RNA", at positions 50 to 154 of the family's 154-position model. The record is from RNAcentral. Lineage: Eukaryota; Fungi.